This is a long non-coding RNA of Amphiprion ocellaris (clown anemonefish), 6225 nucleotides long. The record is from Ensembl. NCBI's taxonomy places the organism in Eukaryota, Metazoa, Chordata, Actinopteri, Pomacentridae.
GAUUCUUUAAUAUGGAACAAAAUCAGAGCUCAGCUCCAAGGCUCCGUCCACCCAACACACUUUGUAACACUGAUGGGUGGAGGAGAACGAGAAAAUCAACUAGUAAGAUCACAGUCCGCUCGGCCAAAAAACAGGAGAGGCUAAAAAAAAACAUGGAACGCAAAACCAAAGUGCUACUGGGCGUAACCUGGAGACGCCCUCGCUCCCUUCCCUCCUGACCCAGGAUGUGACCACAGGGACACGUCUCUCCGCUGCCUCCCAGGGCUCUCCCACCUCCUCCCCUACCUCACCCUUCUCAUCCUCCUCGGUGAAGUCAGUGGCUCCUCAAACCAGUCGGUGACCCACUGACCCGUCCGAGCCGGGCGAGGUUGGCGUGGAGGUGGGUUUGGAGGACCAGAGGGUUGUGUGUGAGGGUCUUAAAGCCAGGUGUGCUGCCAUUUGUGAGUCUGCAGUUCUCAGAGGGACGUGAACGAGGCGUCUUGGUUAUUAUCAUGGCUCCAGCGGAAACGUCUGCAGUUCAGCCCCUCUGCCGUUUUACUCCCAGACUACGUGAGAUCUAAUCAUCUUUAAAAUGCUGCUCGCUAGAGGUUCAGAUGGAAUGUUUGAAGUUUCUGAGGAAAUGAGAAAAGGACAGGAGGGAGAGGACGUCUGCGGAGGCCGCCCAGUAAGAACCCGUUACUAUACUAAUACAGGGACAUCAACAGAAGUACUACACAGAUAUGUACAGAGCAACCAAGCAACACAUUGGAAUACUGAGUAAUAAAUCUGGUGUGGGAAAGGGAAGGUAAUAGUCCACUACAAAUGCACAUACCCCACUACUUUUUCGUGUAGUCGGUCCAAUCUUUAAGGCUACUCUCUUGCGCUUGCUACAAACGCGGCAGCAGCGAAAGCCACCACAACAUAGAUUUGAGUCACACGUCUGUGCUUGACUUUUUGAAUAUGGCUGCUUUGUGAUUCUGUGUGCCGAGCUGACAGCUACCCUUCUCCUCAGAGUGAGCAUUAAGAGAAGGCAAACACCGUAAAGAAAACAAAUCAAACAUGACCCGGGAUGAGUUGCAUGCAUCCCCUCUUUUUUUUUUUUUUGUGCUAAAUCAUUCUCUGGUCCACAGAGCUCUGUAGAAGAAGAAAAAAAACAAAAAAACAAGGUGAUCCUCCGUAAUGCGGAGGGUGACGGAUGAGAGAUGCUAAUGGACGAAGAAUCACAGAUAGAUGAGGAAGCAUGGAUUACUGUGAAAUUAGACUCUGGUGGCGUACGCAUUACCAGCUGAAUGGGAGAGUAAAUGAACAAUCGAGCAGAGGAAGUGGAAAUCUAUACUUAGUGGAGGAUUAAAAUGAAGCGUUGUAAUGAGGAAACGGGGUGGACAUGAGGAGACACACAGACACAAAGAGACAGAGAGAGAGAGGGCAUCUGUCAGCUUCGGCAAACACAGUCAUCCUGCACCUUAACACACACUGCGUCACAUGACAAACUACAUCAGAGAGAGAGAGAGAGAGGGGGGAGGAGGGAGGCACUGCACAGAGAGCACUAGCACUACCAUGGACGGACACACACCUAACACACACACACACACACACACUACUGCACAGGGUCCCAGUCUGCGUUCCACUGCACUCUCCUGGCUGCCAGAACCUCGCUGUGUCUUGUCAAGAAAAAACAACAAACGAACCGAUUAACAAACAAACGGACGAAAAGAAGAAACAACGCACACUUUUGGUUCCCACUGGCUAUAAUAAAAAAAUAAACCAGAAACAGAACCUAGAAUAUAAAAAGAGCCAGUGGCACCGGGUUUUACAGAAAGCAUUUUCUCAAUAACUGGCUUUUGAACAGCUCUACGCUUUUUCUUUUAGUCUACCAAGUAUAUACUAUUAACCUUACCAGGCAGCUAAAAUCUAUACAGUACUGUCAUUUUUCAUAUAUUUAUAGAUAUUUAUACACUAUACAAAGUUGGCAAAAAUACAUAAAUAAAUACAUUAAAUUAGAUUGUACACAUCACAAUUGUGUGUUUUAAGUUAGAGCACUCUUUGUUGAAGAGGUGGGUCACGGCAAGUCGAGAAAGGAGGUGAAGAAACAGGAGUGUUACCCUCGACAUCCCGUCACAAGUCCCCAUCACACUUGGUAAGUAACAUUUCAGAGUAUGGCGUUAGAUCAGUUAAGUGUAUUGCUUAUUACCUACCUGAUUAAAAAUGUCCGCAUUAUGGCAGGAGUUAGAGGCUGCUCUAACCACAUCACGAAGUCUAUUUACAACCAGCGGGAGGCAAAGGAAAAGCACACCGAAGGAUCUUGGAUUUAGGGAAACUGGUCAGAAUUUAUUUUUAGCGAGUUUGUGGACUUUCUGACUCCCCGUGGGACUCCGUCUAAAGGAUGGCAUUACAAGUGAAGGCAGGACUGUAUCCGCUGUCCUUCCUGCUGAUGGCUGCUGGGAGUAUCUGCUGUACCGUAUCAUGUCUGUGGCAGAGACGCUCCUAAAAGUAAUGUGAAACUGAUAAGCUCCAUCCCUGCACUGUACACAGGCCCAGGCAGACACAUAAGGCUAUGGCAUAUGGAAAAUGUGGAAGUGGGCGUACCGACACCUGCAGUGAUAUAACUGGACUACAGCCAUGUGCCUUUGCUAUUUUUUGGAUGAAGCAGUAGGCUGAGUAAAUGACACAUUUUAGACAUCUGGAAAGAUCUCUUAUCUAACUUUUUUGAAUGAUUAAAACCAAUUCUUCUUUUCACUAUUCCUGGGCUUUUCUUAUUUGAGUUUGAGAGUUCUUACAAAUAUCUGACAAAGCAAGAGAUAAGCCUAUUAUUUGGCAAGUUCAUGUCAGUCAGUUGUGCUUAAUCAAAAUAAAUAAGAGGCUGAAUCACAAGCAUGCAAACUGUCUUCACAGGGUCAGAUGGAUGGUUAAUGUCCUUCUACUUGGAAUCCACUCUGUCCUCUAUACAUGCCCAUCCCCAUGUAUGGCCUCCAGCAGAGCAAUAAUGACUCCAAAUUCAAUGAGGAAGGCAUCAUCAGUGUCAGUACAGGGCCAAUCCCGUCUAACACAAUGGCAUUACAGUAAAUCCCCAAGCCUAUAAGCAGACAGGGCGAGAUGUGAUGCCAAGCGACCGGGGCAGAGUGACUCCACAGGGAGCUGAACGGUCCUGUCGCACAGCCGGGGAGCGCUCUGUUCCUGACGCUUGUAACAAAAACACAACAAUGUUUUGUGGCAUGAAAAACACAAGCUACAAUUUGUGCCACACAUCGCACAGUCAAUUUCCUGGAGGUGUGUGUGGGGCAGGCGGGGAAAGGUAUGUGGCAGUGCUGCUACAGUGGGCCUGGGAUGUGUUGGGUAUCACUCCUUCCCUUGGUUCCUCUUGCCCUGACCUCACGACGCCUCCAACAAAAAUACAGCGGACAUCAAAAGCCCUUAUUCAAGAAGGGCAGGUAUAAUCAGCUUCGGCAUCAUCAACAUCACCACUGUUAUUCAUGAAUAUCAUUGUUUUCUUCAUCAUUUCAAGUGACAAAUGAAAACUCAGCGUACAACAAAUGUUAAUUUUUCACCAACAAUAUUUACAUAAAGUUUUUCAAAAACAGAAGGAUUUUCUUCUCACGGUUUUGUAAAGAAAGCAACCCAACACAAGAACACCAAGCACACACAUACAUACACACUGACCAACAGUCAAAUGUGAACCGAAAGGAAAAAAAAAAAAAGAUAUUAUUACUCAUUGUUUUUCAUAUUCACUUUCGUUACUAUUCAAAUAAUGCUUACUCGAACCCUGAUUGGGAGAAGUCACACUGGCUUUCACCAGAUGCUUAAAACAAUUGAAAGGGUGAGUUGGGGGAGGCGAGGUCUGUCUGCACAGGGCGAGACGCACACAGAUACUGACUGGACAAAUGACAAAGGUGACCCAGGAGGCUUCUGGGCUUACUCAGCCAUCAUAACAUGAUUCAGCAGAAUAAAACAUCAGCUGCACUCCCUCUAGGAUGAGAUUACUACAGCCUGAUUUUUAUCCACACACACACACACACACACACACACACACACACACACACACACACCUAAAGUUCUCCAAGACAUAAAACACCUUAAUCUAAUAUUGCAAAAAAACUACAGCAAAGCAGGCACCUUUCCAAUAGAGUGACUCAUUGACACUCAUCUUAAGAAAGCAAUAUCCAUCAAGGCAAACUAGUACUGAGGAAUAAGAAAAGGAGGAAGAGAGCAUGACAAGGACAAACAACAUCAGCAGGCUCAGAAGAAUAUCUUGCUAAUCCCUUGGCAAACAGGUGUGACCCUUCAGCCAAUAAAGCUUUAAGUUAUUUAGAAAGUACACAGAGAAGGGAAGGCUGCUGGUGACAAUGAUAAAUUUGGGGGCGCACACCCAGGAAUAAACGUCUCAGAGAAGAUGGAAGUCCAGCAGUGAAUCGUUUACUUCACUAAACCGAGCUGAUGACAAGAAUACCGCCAUUCUAGCAGCUCUGUGAGGAUCUAUGCAGGCACAGCAGGGUUUGGAGGUAAAUACGAACAUCACCAUGCUAACAUACUCACAGCGACAAUGCGCACAUGCUGACGUUUAGCAGGCACACCGACGUUUACCAUGGCUAUAUAAAAGUUAACAUUUAUCUGACUGUCUAAAUUUGUGUGUAGACAUAUAUCCACUGCACAGAGUAAAGAAAAGAGUGGAAAUUGCAACUUUGCAUUUUAAAGCCGUUUCCAGGUCCGAACGCUACUUCAAUAAGACAAAAAUUAUACUUGAGUGACCAGUAAUGUCUGGAACAAUGUAGCUGUUGGGAUAUUUUAGUCUGUAACAAAGUGGCAGGCCAAAUGACAAGACAUUGCCAUUAGGUUGACCAUAAACACAUGUUUGCACUUAAAGCUGCGGUAGACAGGAAUGUAAGAAAGACCAACAAACAGGCAAACAAACAAAACGUCAGAAUUUCAACCACACAAGCACAUAUUGCAAACAUGCAAAGAUAGUAAAGCUAAGUGUCAGCAUUCAUGUGUGACUUUAACCAGGAUUCAGACUCAGACUGUUGUGUGUAAAAAGCACUGGGAUUGGCUAAAAUCCGUCAUCACAGGCUAGAUUUCCUAAAGCCUUCAGAGCCAAGAGGAGGUGCAGAAGUCUGGUUUCCUAUUAGACCACUUGAAAAUUCCAUAGGCUUCUGGUACAACUUUUGCCCAGUGAUGGCAAAAGACCCUGCCUACCCUAGUUGCAGAUACAGAUGUUACAGAACUUUGCCAGCUGAGUGCUGAAUAAUAUACAUGGAAGGAAAGUAAGGAAGGAAAGUUUUAGUCUGUGGCAAAGUUGCAGGAGGUUUUGGCUGUGUGUGACAUCUAGAAUUAAACUUCUGAAAUCAAACUCUAAUUAUGCACACCUGCAUCUACCAGUUGGCUCCACCAGGGAAUGAUUGCAAAGACGAAAGCCAGAUCUGAGGCCGAACACAAGGAGAGCAAGCACACAGAGUGGAUGAGCUCAGGAUUGUUGAAGGUCAGUGCUGACAGUCUUGGUGCCAACAAAACGCAAUAAGUUUAGAGGUGUGAGACAGGUGGCAGUAUAAUAAAACUGGGAUUUGGAAAUUGCUUCCUCCUUUAUACUGUUUGGCUCUGAGCUUACCAUCCAUUUUAAUAGUGCGGCUGUUUGACUGCUGGCAAUGAGAACAUAAUGUUUGGGACUCCUGGAUAUUUUAUGGACUGUGCAACUUCUGGAUGAUAUAUAUACCACUGUGAGACACGAUUUUCUAAAUUAAAGAAGUUAUGAACAUACAGACAUUAUUACAAUCACAAGUGAACAUUUUUCUUUUCUUGUCAUUUCAUUCAUCAAGUUAGCUUUACGGGCUAUUCAUCACUUUGAGCAUAAUGGCUUAUUUGAAACUGAGUAAAUUAAGAUAUAUUGUUGAAUUAAUCAUUGCUUAUUUAGGGCUCAUAAGUAGCCAAUUCUUGGCUUAAAUCUAACCCUAAUAUAUUUAAUAUUGUUUCAGCAUCUUUGUAUGUCAUGGGUUUUCACUAACUUUAUGACAAUUACUUAUAAACAUGAUUUGAAACUAAUGACAUUCUCCUGAAGUAUUUAUGGUUGGGUUCUCACAAUUUAAAAGGCAGCUGAAACUCCCUACAACUGUACAUUUCAAGUUUGUUGGCGAAUUUCAAUAUGUUUCGAAUAUAUACUUAUACAUAUACAUAUACGUAUACGUACAUAUAUAUAUAUACAUAUAUAUAUAUAUAUAUAUAUAUAUAUAUAUAUAUAUAUAUAUAUAUAUAUAUAUAUAU